UUGUUUUUAUUUUGUUUUACAGCUUUGUCUAAAAAAUAUUGUCAGCUUCUUGAUGAAAAAGAAAUCAUAAAAGAACUGAAUUACACUGAGUUGGUGUGUACAAAACAGCAUUCACUCUUGAAAGUCUGGAGCUGUUGCCCAAAGGAUUGGAAGCCAUUUAGUUCCCACUGCUACUUCAUUUCCACUGAUGAGGCAUCUUGGAGAGAGAGUGAGGAGAAGUGUUCCAGCAUGGGUGCUCAUCUGAUGGUGAUCCACAGCGAGGAAGAGCAGGAUUUCAUCACCAAGAUCCUGGAUUCUCAAGCUGCUUAUUAUAUUGGCCUUUCAGAU
Molecule: non-coding RNA, 327 nt
Organism: Peromyscus maniculatus bairdii (prairie deer mouse)
Lineage: Eukaryota; Metazoa; Chordata; Mammalia; Rodentia; Cricetidae
Source: RefSeq, a predicted model, not a curated record